UGCCAGCCGCCGCGGUAAUACAGAGGUGGCGAACGUUGUUCGGAUUUACUGGGCGUAAAGGGUGCGCAGGCGGAUUUGUCAGUCAGGGGUGAAAUCCUACAGCUUAACUGUAGAACUGCCUUUGAUACUGCAAAUCUUGAGUUCGGAAAGGAGAGGCGGAAUUCCAGGUGUAGUGGUGAAAUACGUAGAUAUCUGGAAGAACACCAGAGGCGAAGGCGGUCUCUUGGUCCGAAACUGACGCUGAGGCGCGUAAGCGUGGGGAGCAAACAGGAUUAGAUA
This 279-nucleotide ribosomal RNA is filed under the name uncultured bacterium. Its description in RNAcentral is "partial 16S ribosomal RNA". It matches the Rfam family "Bacterial small subunit ribosomal RNA", at positions 506 to 784 of the family's 1533-position model. The record is from RNAcentral.